GAUAGGCUUGAUAUGAACGGUGGAAGUGAUCCUGAUGCUUGUGUCAUGGAGACCAAAAAAUCAAGUUUGAUGUUGGAAAACGUAUCUGAUUUAUGUAUGGAUGCAGGGAUUUUGAAGCCUGAUUUGACCAGUUCUGAUGACAGAGACGAGGCUGGAGAACUGGAUUCUGUAGAUACUGAACUUGUGUCUAAGAAUUCAGUUCAGGUAAACUGUCAUGUAGAUAAGCAAGAGGUGGAUUUUAACAGGGACUGUGAGAUUCAGAUUGGUGUUUGUAUUGGAAGUGGUCAAGGGGAUGAGGAUCUGAUUACAGUUUCUCGGGAAGGUGUUGAAAUUGAUGGAGAUGCCUCAGAGAUUGGCCUGCCUUACAUACCGUGUGAAGUUUCUACCAAGCCUUUAGGGGAAGAAAUCAGGGGAGUUGUUUCUUCGCCUGUACAUGAUUUGAAAAAUAGAAAAGCAGAAAAAACUGAAGUAAGUAGGUCGAACUGCUCUUUGGAAGACAGUAAGCCCAAUAUGGUGUUGUUUGGGAAUAAUUCUCGUCUUGCUGCUGCUAGGGGAGGGGGAUUAUGUCCUCUUAAUGGAUCCCGGAAUAUGACUCAGUUAGAAUCUGAUUCUGAGUGUAAGCUAGAUGUGAAUUACUUAGAAAGCAAUAUUUCGUUUCAGAGGAAACAGAUAUCUGAAGCUUCUAAUGCUGAUAAAUUAUCAGAGCUGGAACUUGAGAAUGUUGGUGAUAAGCAGUGUGAGAAUGCUACUCAGUCAGCUGAGCAGCCCUUGUCAAGCACUUCACGGUCAGCCCAGGUUGAAUCCUGCCAGAUUCUUGGCAGCUAUUUAUUGGGAGAGUCUACUCUCACGGAGAAUGGAGAUCCAGGCUGCAGAGCUUCAGCUGCAUUGCAAGAAGUCCAGGUGGGUAGGAAUCUACAAUUAGAUACAUUUUCUACAACUUGCUUUCUCCAGAAGUGCAAUGGUACGAAUCGCGGUGGUUGUUCUGUUUCUGAUCUGGUUCCUAACCGAGAACAGACAGGAAGUAGUUCAUCAGUUGUGGAGAAACCUUGUAGGAAUGGCGAUGUGAAAUUGUUUGGACAGAUUCUCAGUAAACCAUGCCCCAAGGCAAAUCCCAGUUCUAAUGCAGAGCGGAUUGAUGGUAGCAAUCAGAUGUUGAAAGUUGGUAGCAAUUCCUUUAGUGCAAGUCAUAGUUUAGAAGGCAAUUCAGCCACUGCAAAAUUCGAGCGAAAUAACUUCCUGGGUUCUGAGAAUCAUCCAUUGAGGAGUUUUGGUUUUUGGGAUGGGAGUAGAAUUCAGACAGGGUUUUCUUCGUUGCCCGAUUCUGCUAUCCUGCUGGCUAAAUAUCCUGCGGCAUUUGGUAGCUAUGGGUUAUCUUCCACCAAAAUGGAGCAGCCUAGUUUGCAUGGGGUUGUGAAGACGACUGAGCGGAAUUUGAACAGUCCCCCUGUGUUUGCAGCAAGAGAUUCAAGUAGCAACAGUGCAGUAGCAGGAUCAGAUUAUCAAGUGUACAGAAAUCGAGAUGUGCAGCCUUUUACAAUAGAGAUGAAACAGAGGCAAGACGCAGUAUUCUCUGAGAUGCAAAGAAGAAAUGGGUUUGAUGUUGUUGGUAUUCCGCAACAAGCAAGGGGGGUGGUUGUCGGAAGAGGAGGGAUUCUGCAGUGCAGUGGUGUGGUGUCAGAUCCGGUGGCUGCCAUAAAAAUGCAUUAUGCGAAAGCUGAACAAUUUAGUGGGCAGGCGGGAAGCAUUAUGAGAGAGGAUGAUUCUUGGAGAAGUAAAGGGGAUGUGAGCAGGUAGUUGAGGCCAGACUCUGGUGGUUGGUCUCCCUGUGGCAAGUGUCUUUUUGCCACAAAUGUACAAUAGUUUUUGUAAGUUUAAUCCAGGAAACCAUAGGGCAGUAGACGGUUACAGUAGUUGCCGUCUUUUUGGUUGCAGAAUUCUAGGGUCUGUAAUAUUUGCAAGUAGGUUUGUAUUUUGUUGUAUUUGAUGGGGAAUACAGCAAUAAAUUAUCAAGAGUUUGGUAGGUGGAG
This 2027-nucleotide unclassified non-coding RNA is filed under the name Hevea brasiliensis (rubber tree). Lineage: Eukaryota; Viridiplantae; Streptophyta; Magnoliopsida; Malpighiales; Euphorbiaceae. The record is from RNAcentral.